GAUGAACGCUGGCGGCGUGCCUAAUACAUGCAAGUCGAGCGAAUGGAUUAAGAGCUUGCUCUUAUGAAGUUAGCGGCGGACGGGUGAGUAACACGUGGGUAACCUGCCCAUAAGACUGGGAUAACUCCGGGAAACCGGGGCUCAUACCGGAUAACAUUUUGAACCGCAUGGUUCGAAAUUGAAAGGCGGCUCCGGCUGUCACUUAUGGAUGGACCCGCGUCGCAUUAGCUAGUUGGUGAGGUAACGGCUCACCAAGGCAACGAUGCGUAGCCGACCUGAGAGGGUGAUCGGCCACACUGGGACUGAGACACGGCCCAGACUCCUACGGGAGGCAGCAGUAGAGAAUCUUCCGCAAUGGACGAAAGUCCGACGGAGCAACGCCGCGUGAGUGAUGAAGGCUUUCGGGUCGUAAAACUCUGUUGUUAGGGAAGAACAAGUGCUAGUUGAAUAAGCUGGCACCUUGACGGUACCUAACCAGAAAGCCACGGCUAACUACGUGCCAGCCGCCGCCGUAA
RNAcentral lists this ribosomal RNA (515 nucleotides) under uncultured bacterium. RNAcentral describes it as "partial 16S ribosomal RNA". It matches the Rfam family "Bacterial small subunit ribosomal RNA", at positions 28 to 523 of the family's 1533-position model. The record is from RNAcentral.